UUUCUAGGUAGAAUUAUGAUGAUGACAUUAUCUAUCUAUUAGUCUUGACCAAAUUACGUGCCAGCAGUCGCGGUAAUACGUAGAAGACAAGUGUUAUUCAUCUUUAUUAGGUUUAAAGAGUACCAAGACGGUUAAUAAAGCCCAAAAGAAAUGAAUACGGGGGACACAUUAACUAGAGUUAUAUGAAAGGAAGCUCUUAGGUACUGUUGAGUGGAGAGAUGAAAUUUUAUGAUACCAGAUGAUUGGCACAGAUUUAUGCGAAGGCAUCUUCUUAUGUAAUAACUGACGUUGUAGGACGAAGGCUUAGGAAGUGAACAGGAUUAGGUACCCCAGUAAUCUAGGCAGAAAAUGAUGAAUGUCAUAGGUUCAAUACUGACUGGUUAAUUUGAUUAAAGAAUAGUUUAUGGUGAUAAAUUAACUAAUCAAUGGUGAUAAAUUAACUAAUCAGUCUAUUGUGUCUAUAAAUGAAAGUGUAAGCAUUCCACCUCAAGAGUAAUUUGGCAACAUUGGAACUGAAAUCAUUAGACCGUUUCUGAANCCAGUAGUGAAGUAUGUUGUUUAAUUAGAUGAUACACAAAAACCUUACCACAAUUUGA
Molecule: ribosomal RNA, 596 nt
Filed under: Sticta cometia
Lineage: Eukaryota; Fungi; Ascomycota; Lecanoromycetes; Peltigerales; Lobariaceae
Description: SSU rRNA
Rfam family: Bacterial small subunit ribosomal RNA
Source: RNAcentral